GCCCCCUCCCCACAGAGCUCCGAUGGCCCCUGAGGUGGCUCCUGUUCCACCGGCCGGUGCCCCUGACCCAGGACGGCCCCAGAGAGUCUGGGGGGAUUUUGGGGGGCAUUUUUGGGAUUUUGUGGCAAUUUUGAUGAAUUUUAGGAGGGUUUUUGGGGAUUAUCUUGGGGCUUCUUUAGGGCUUUAUUGGGUAUUUGAUAGAAGUUCAGGAGGAAUUAUUGGGGUUUUGGAGAGAAUUAUUGGGUUUUGGGGGGUUAUGGGAUUUUGGGGGUUUUAUGGAACUGGGGAGUUUUGGAUUUUGGGAGAUUUUAUUGGGGCUUGGGGGUUGGUUUUUGAGGGGGUUUAGUGAAAUUUUGGGGAGGUUUUUGAGUUUUGAUGUGUUUCACUGGGAUUUUGUGGUGUUCUCCGGGGUUUUGGAGGAUCUUAUUGCAAUUUCUUGAGGAAUUUGAGAUUUUUAGUGGAAUUUGUGGGGGAUUUGGGCGUCUGGGGCCUUUGGGGUUGUCCCAGGGUUUGCGGAAGGACUGAGAGGCAUCAAAAUCUCCUUAAAAGCCCCAAAAGUCCCAAUAAAACUCAUGAAAUCUGAAAUAAAUAUGACAAAAACCCAUGAGAACACCCUAGAAUCCCAAUAAAAGCCCACAAAAUCUUUUGAAAUCCCAAUAACCCCCAAAAUUCCCGUGAAACUCCAUAAAUCCCCCCAAAAAUGUCCCCUAAAUAAUAAAAAUCCCAUAAAAUCCCCCCGAAGACCCAAAGAAAUCAUGGCAACACCCAAAAAAAACCCACAAAACCCCAAAAAUCCCACGAAAAUUCUGAAAGAAACCAAAUCCCCAAUGAAUCCCACUAAGAGCUCCCACAAUUCCAGUAAAAUGCCUCAAAAUCUCCUAGAAAUCCCAAUAAACACCCCAGAAUUUCUGAGAAUCCCAAAAAAACCAAGUAAAAUCCCAGUAAAACCUCCCAAAAUACAAAAAAAAAAAAAAAUCAAUAAACCCCCAAACACCCCCAGAACAACACUCCCCCCAAAGUGCCAAUAAAACCCCCAAAAUCCAAACCCCCCAAAAUCCACAAAAGCCCCCAACAUUUCCCACCUUGUCCCAGCAUGUCUGCAGUCAUUUCCAGGCGCUGCCAGUGCCCCAGGAAGGUGUCAGUUCUCCCAGUGUGAUCCCCCAGCCAUGCCCAGAAUAUCCCAGCUGCCUCCAGCAUGCAUCCAGUCCUGCCCAGUUCCUCCAGUUUGCUUGCAGCAUGAUCCCAGUUUCUCUCAGGAUUUCCAUUGCCAACCCCCAUUGAGGCUGUGAGGAAAAUGCCCCAGAACAUGCAAGCAGAGCAGGAGCUGAGCAUGGAGAGCAGGGAGGACAAAUCCCCGCGGCAGAACCUCGUGGCAGAGGCCGUUUUGAGCGGCUCCACGGCGCAGGAACCCAACGGGGAGGAAAAGCCCCGGAGAUGCC
Passer domesticus (house sparrow) is the source of this 1439-nucleotide long non-coding RNA. RefSeq lists it as uncharacterized. The transcript has 3 exons. Lineage: Eukaryota; Metazoa; Chordata; Aves; Passeriformes; Passeridae. The record is from RefSeq and is a predicted model, not a curated record.